UCAACGCCAAUGACCGGAAAAGUAAUGAUGCGCACUCCUGAAAAGAGAGGAUGGGACCCCGGCUGAAAUCCCGUCUGCAGGAACGCAUCAUGAAAAACACCCGAGAGGCUUUUCUUCGAAACGGGAAACCGCGUAGGAGAAGACGGAGCCGGCCGUUAUCCGGACCGAGUGGGCACCGGCUUUUGGUGCCAAUCAGGGUGGAACCGCGGUGGCCAGGAGGCCCUCGUCCCUUGC
Molecule: non-coding RNA, 234 nt
Filed under: Edaphobacillus lindanitolerans
Lineage: Bacteria; Bacillati; Bacillota; Bacilli; Caryophanales; Bacillaceae
Description: T-box sequence
Rfam family: T-box leader
About the family: Uncharged tRNA acts as the effector for transcription antitermination of genes in the T-box leader family. T-boxes are found upstream of many aminoacyl-tRNA synthetase genes and some amino acid biosynthetic genes usually in Gram-positive bacteria.
Source: RNAcentral